AUUGAACGCUGGCGGCAGGCCUAACACAUGCAAGUCGAGCGUGAAAGGGCUUCGGCCUGAGUAAAGCGGCGGACGGGUGAGUAACGCGUAGGAAUCUACCUGGUAGUGGGGGAUAACGUUCCGAAAGGGACGCUAAUACCGCAUACGUUCCGAGGAAGAAAGCGGGGGAUCGCAAGACCUCGCGCUAUCAGAUGAGCCUGCGUCCGAUUAGCUAGUUGGUGGGGUAAAGGCCUACCAAGGCGACGAUCGGUAACUGGUCUGAGAGGAUGAUCAGUCACACUGGAACUGAGACACGGUCCAGACUCCUACGGGAGGCAGCAGUGGGGAAUAUUGGAC
RNAcentral lists this ribosomal RNA (336 nucleotides) under uncultured bacterium. RNAcentral describes it as "bacterial SSU rRNA". It matches the Rfam family "Bacterial small subunit ribosomal RNA", at positions 30 to 369 of the family's 1533-position model. The record is from RNAcentral.